This 628-nucleotide ribosomal RNA is filed under the name Xanthomonas sp. Ri3Ps_5270. Its description in RNAcentral is "bacterial SSU rRNA". It matches the Rfam family "Bacterial small subunit ribosomal RNA", at positions 387 to 1006 of the family's 1533-position model. Lineage: Bacteria; Pseudomonadati; Pseudomonadota; Gammaproteobacteria; Lysobacterales; Lysobacteraceae. The record is from RNAcentral.
UCCAGCCAUGCCGCGUGGGUGAAGAAGGCCUUCGGGUUGUAAAGCCCUUUUGUUGGGAAAGAAAAGCAGUCGGUUAAUACCCGAUUGUUCUGACGGUACCCAAAGAAUAAGCACCGGCUAACUUCGUGCCAGCAGCCGCGGUAAUACGAAGGGUGCAAGCGUUACUCGGAAUUACUGGGCGUAAAGCGUGCGUAGGUGGUUGUUUAAGUCCGUUGUGAAAGCCCUGGGCUCAACCUGGGAAUUGCAGUGGAUACUGGGCAACUAGAGUGUGGUAGAGGAUGGCGGAAUUCCCGGUGUAGCAGUGAAAUGCGUAGAGAUCGGGAGGAACAUCUGUGGCGAAGGCGGCCAUCUGGACCAACACUGACACUGAGGCACGAAAGCGUGGGGAGCAAACAGGAUUAGAUACCCUGGUAGUCCACGCCCUAAACGAUGCGAACUGGAUGUUGGGUGCAACUUGGCACGCAGUAUCGAAGCUAACGCGUUAAGUUCGCCGCCUGGGGAGUACGGUCGCAAGACUGAAACUCAAAGGAAUUGACGGGGGCCCGCACAAGCGGUGGAGUAUGUGGUUUAAUUCGAUGCAACGCGAAGAACCUUACCUGGUCUUGACAUCCACGGAACUUUCCAGAGA